Molecule: long non-coding RNA, 436 nt
Filed under: Vigna radiata
Lineage: Eukaryota; Viridiplantae; Streptophyta; Magnoliopsida; Fabales; Fabaceae
Description: long non-coding RNA (VRAD_LNC002545)
Source: RNAcentral
AAUUGAUUAGGGAAGAAGAGGAAUUUGAUUUAGGUUGAGAGUAGUGUUGGGUGUGAAGAUUUUAAGAGCCAAGAGGGAAGGGUUUGUUAUGUGGGAGGUUGGUGAUGCAUGUUGGGCAAUGGAGGUAGAGAAGGGACACUUAGAUAUGAGCUCAGAUAUUAAAUGGUAAUGUUUAAUCAUAAACAUUUAUCAAUUAUCAAAGUCCUUCUUUUGUAGAAGAAAUAGAGAAAACCCCAAGAUCCAAUUUUUGUUGUAUGUUUCUUUUUCUUGGCUUAGCCAAAUUUCUUAACUUUUUCAUGCUAUAUUUAGAUUGACUUCUUAUGGUCUUGAUUUUUUGCUAUUAUUGGAUUUAUCUUUAAGAUGUCAUGAAACUUUAACCAAUUUAUUUUCACAUCUCAAUGAGUUCAACUUAGCUGUAAUUGUACUAACACACCUC